AAGUCGUAACAAGGUUUCCGUAGGUGAACCUGCGGAGGGAUCAUUAAUGAGAACUUGCCCUUCGGGGUAGAUCUCCCAUCCUUUGUCUAUUCUACCUUUGUUGCUUUGUCAGGCCCGUCUCUCGGGACCGCCGGCCCUCGGGCUGGUCAGCGCCUGACGGAGGAAACCAAACUCUUUUUAAAAUGUCGUCUGAGUACUAUAUAAUAGUUAAAACUUUCAACAACGGAUCUCUUGGUUCUG
RNAcentral lists this unclassified non-coding RNA (240 nucleotides) under Claussenomyces sp. RNAcentral describes it as "partial contains small subunit ribosomal RNA, internal transcribed spacer 1, and 5.8S ribosomal RNA". The stretch from base 1 to 46 matches the Rfam family "Eukaryotic small subunit ribosomal RNA", at positions 1786 to 1831 of the family's 1831-position model. The record is from RNAcentral. Lineage: Eukaryota; Fungi; Ascomycota; Leotiomycetes; Leotiales; Tympanidaceae.